Molecule: long non-coding RNA, 745 nt
Organism: Cyanistes caeruleus (blue tit)
Lineage: Eukaryota; Metazoa; Chordata; Aves; Passeriformes; Paridae
Source: RefSeq, a predicted model, not a curated record
CUCAGCCUAGCUCUAAGCAUUCCCUCACUGUCUGCCUCUCCCCUGCACAGGGAAUGAAUGUGGGGAGACAGACCUGCUUUGGUAGCAGCAACACGUUUUUUCCACGUUUUUUGAGCCACCCCUUCCUCAGGGUGGGAGCGGGGGAGCCUCCAGGCUGAGCUCGUGUCCAACACUGCAGCGCCAGGGGAGGGCUGUGUGUGCUCCUUGGCUUUUUAUGUGGCCAUGCUGGGGGUUAUGUCAGGGUCUGGGGGUGCUACCUGCUGCCUGCUCAGACUGGAGAGCAAAUUUGUCAGACAACCCCUGUGACACCAAAGGCAGCUCAGCCUUGCUGCAAGGCUCCCCUCAAGGCUCUGCAGAUUCCAGAGGAAUCCAGAGGAACAGCAAAGCUUUGUGUCAGUGUGCAAGAAAGGUGGUGUGGCAGGAAUGUGCCUGUGCCACACGUGGUGGCUGUCCUGACACUGGAAUAGGUCCUCUGGGGGGUUUUUUUGGGCACCUGACAGUGGGUGCUACCAUGCCAGCCUAAGCCAAGCCUGUCUGAACCACCACAGCUGCAAGAGAGGAGCUGUUCUUUGUAAAAUAGGCUUUAAUUGCAGUGCCUGCUUAGUUCAGCAUCAUCCUGGAGCACGGUUUGGUUCAGAUAGGGAACAAAUCCCUGGGAGAUGGAUUUGGAGCCUGGAGCAGACAGUUUAAAAGAUUUGCACAGAAAGCUGCAACUUGAGGACAUGGUUGAUAUUUUAUUUUAUUU